Molecule: non-coding RNA, 2176 nt
Organism: Oryctolagus cuniculus (rabbit)
Lineage: Eukaryota; Metazoa; Chordata; Mammalia; Lagomorpha; Leporidae
Source: RefSeq, a predicted model, not a curated record
AGCGGGAGCGACCGUUGGGCCGCGGGGCGGGGCGGGGCGGGGCGGGGCGGGGCCUCUGGCUCCGUCAAGGCCUCGCUGGGUCCGCGGUUUGCUCCGGCCGCACCGGCCGGCCGUCUCGGAAGUGCGGCCGCACCGCCUGGGAGUGAGGCCCUGCGCCGGCUUCCCUGGCUGAGCAGGCCCCGAGGGACGACUCACCCGGACUCGAGCGGGGAGCGGGGCCGCCGUGGGACCGGCGCAAGGCGGGGAAAAGCCAGGGCCCGGGGGAGUGGCCGGACGGUCAAGAUGGCCUAUACAAAAGCACUCCAUGUUUCUGCCAAUACUCUGAGUCCUUGGUCGCCUGAGCAAAAUCGCCCGAAGGGAGCUGCCUGGAGGGAAAGGGACACAGCUUUGGAGGUAUUUCAGCAGUUUCUCACCUCUCUCAUGGAGAGAGAGAAAAGUGGAAGUAUGAAAGUCCUCUAAUUGUUUUUUUUUAACGAAAGAAUUCUUUCAGUUUAUGGUUGAAUCUGAUUUAACAGCUGCCCAAAGCUUUUAACUUUCAAGAUUUAUAUUUACUUCAAAACUGAUUCCCCCUCACCUUCCUCUUUUUUCCUGACAGCUGGGAACUUCUAAUAACCCAAUGAAAUAGGCGCUGGCUAUUUUAGGAAAGGAGCCAGAGGGAAGACCAGGGCUGGGGAUCAGGGAGAAGCAAGGGAGGCUCAAGCCUUAGUCAUCUGAUCUCUUUACUCAGUCCCCACAUCCAAAGCCUGAAGUGGCCCACUGCUGUCAUUUCUUUUAUCUUCUUAUCUUUGUAUUUCUAAAAGCUUUUUAUCUUGGUGAGCUAAUUUAUCUGAUGAACAGUUUAAAAAGAAGAUUGAGAUGAAAGUCCCAAUGCUUUCCCCUCCCUGGGUAGCUCCCUAAGGUCAACCACAAACAAGCUGUGGUAGACUUGUUUAUUCCUUUUAGGUGAGUCCAGGUACAGUGUGCUGUUCAUGAAUUUUUAAGGAUUUAAACAAUUGUAAGAGGGGGAAAAAACAUCUGGCAGAGCUAAUGUAUAUUAAAACUUAGUUUACUCAGUUUUAGGUAAGUGAACACUUAUGUACACAAUAUGAAACAAUAUUAAACUAUUUAAAAGACAAAGUUCCUAUCCACCAUUUGUGUAAAAUUAUGUUGUUUGCGAAUUUGAUAGUCACAUGGGCUCAAAGAUCUGCCUCAUCCAAUGCUGCUGUCUAGGACAAGGGACCCAGGAGCCCUGGCCCUGAGUAUCUGGAACACAGGUCAGCAUCAUCAGUGUACACAGAGCCCUCACUAUCACUUUCAAUUAAAGAGGAGGCAGGAACCUGUUAAGGUGCACAGGGCAAUGAAAGGAAAGACUUCACUUCUUUUCCAUGGCUCCUCAAGACCAGGAUCUAGCAAAGUCUAAAGAAAUAAUAGAAUCAUUACAAAGUAAAAAUUUUUAUUAUCAGUUUUGAGAUUGUAUUAAAUCUCUACCUGAUCCUUGAUCCUGAUCUUGUCACAUAGAUCCAAAUUUGUUCCAGGGAAAUAACUGAACUUUAAGCUUACCUAUUUUGAAGGCAGGAACAGAAGUGGAAAAAUGUAUUGAUGGGUCAAGACUUUAAGGUCAUCUUUCCAUGUCCAGCCAGGGAUUACUCAGGGAGCAAAGUGUGCAGCAUCCAAAUUCCCCUGUACAGGGAGAGAUCUUUGUCCCAUGUCCUGGAUCUACCUUAAGAACUACAGAUUUCCCAGAUAUCUCCUGCAGUUCUCCCUGGCAGUGUUGGACAACAGAUUUUGAAAGUUCCUGAGAUUAUUUGGCUUAAAUUUCUCCUAAUUUCAGAUGGAUGGCCACAAUAUUAAGGAUCCCCAAUGGGGACCAGCACUGUGGCACAGCAGGUUAAAGCCCUGGCCUGAAGCGCUGGCAUCCCAUAUGGGUGCCAGUUCUAGUCCCGGCUGCUCCUCUUCUGAUCCAGCUCUCUGCUGUGGCCUGGGAAAGUAGUGGAAGAUGGCCCAAGUCCUUGGGCCCCUGAACCCGCAUGGAGGACCUGGAAGAAGCUCCUGGCUCCUGGCUUCGGAUUGGCGUAGCUCUGGCCGUUGCGGCCAUCUGGGGAGUGAACCAGCGGAUGGAAGACCUCUCUCUGUCUCUACCUCUGUCUGUAGCUCUGUCUUUCAAAUAAAUAAGAUAAAUCUUAAAAAAAAAAAAAAA